GACGAACGCUGGCGGCGUGCCUAAUACAUGCAAGUCGAGCGAAGUUUUUCUGGUGCUUGCACUAGAAAAACUUAGCGGCGAACGGGUGAGUAACACGUAAAGAACCUGCCUCAUAGACUGGGACAACUAUUGGAAACGAUAGCUAAUACCGGAUAACAGUAUUUCUCGCAUGAGAGAUAUUAAAAGUUUGUUAUGCUAACACUAUGAGAUGGCUUUGCGGUGCAUUAGCUAGUUGGUGGGGUAAAGGCCCACCAAGGCGACGAUGCAUAGCCGACCUGAGAGGGUGAUCGGCCACACUGGGACUGAGACACGGCCCAGACUCCUACGGGAGGCAGCAGUAGGGAAUCUUCCGCAAUGGGCGAAAGCCUGACGGAGCAACGCCGCGUGAGUGAAGAAGGAUUUCGGUUCGUAAAGCUCUGUUGUUAGGGAAGAAUGGAUAUGUAGUAACUAUACAUGUAAGAGACGGUACCUAACCAGAAAGCCACGGCUAACUACGUG
Molecule: ribosomal RNA, 498 nt
Filed under: uncultured bacterium
Lineage: Bacteria
Description: partial 16S ribosomal RNA
Rfam family: Bacterial small subunit ribosomal RNA
Source: RNAcentral